GGGUUGUGAGGUUAAGCGACUAAGCGUACACGGUGGAUGCCCUGGCAGUCAGAGGCGAUGAAGGGCGUGCUAAUCUGCGAUAAGCGCCGGUAAGGUGAUAUGAACCGUUAUAACCGGCGAUACCCGAAUGGGGAAACCCAGUGUGACUCGUCACACUAUCAUUAACUGAAUCCAUAGGUUAAUGAGGCGAACCGGGGGAACUGAAACAUCUAAGUACCCCGAGGAAAAGAAAUCAACCGAGAUUCCCCCAGUAGCGGCGAGCGAACGGGGAGGAGCCCAGAGCCUGAAUCAGCAUGUGUGUUAGUGGAAGCGUCUGGAAAGGCGCGCGAUACAGGGUGACAGCCCCGUACACAAAAGCGCAUGUGCUGUGAGCUCGAUGAGUAGGGCGGGACACGUGGUAUCCUGUCUGAAUAUGGGGGGACCAUCCUCCAAGGCUAAAUACUCCUGACUGACCGAUAGUGAACCAGUACCGUGAGGGAAAGGCGAAAAGAACCCCGGCGAGGGGAGUGAAAAAGAACCUGAAACCGUGUACGUACAAGCAGUGGGAGCCCCACCACUAAGCCAGUGGUGAACUCCACAUCCGCAUCCUUUGCUGAGGAUACGGUUAACGGAGCGAAAGCGACGUUCAACCGCAAAACAAGCAGAGGGGGCUUAGUGGUGGGGUGACUGCGUACCUUUUGUAUAAUGGGUCAGCGACUUAUAUUCUGUAGCAAGGUUAACCGUAUAGGGGAGCCGGAGGGAAACCGAGUCUUAAUUGGGCGUUAAGUUGCAGGGUAUAGACCCGAAACCCGGUGAUCUAGCCAUGGGCAGGUUGAAGGUUGGGUAACACUAACUGGAGGACCGAACCGACUAAUGUUGAAAAAUUAGCGGAUGACCUGUGGCUGGGGGUGAAAGGCCAAUCAAACCGGGAGAUAGCUGGUUCUCCCCGAAAGCUAUUUAGGUAGCGCCUCGUGAAUUCAUCUCCGGGGGUAGAGCACUGUUUCGGCUAGGGGGCCAUCCCGGCUUACCAACCCGAUGCAAACUGCGAAUACCGGAGAAUGUUAUCACGGGAGACACACGGCGGGUGCUAACGUCCGUCGUGAAGAGGGAAACAACCCAGACCGCCAGCUAAGGUCCCAAAGUCAUGGUUAAGUGGGAAACGAUGUGGGAAGGCCCAGACAGCCAGGAUGUUGGCUUAGAAGCAGCCAUCAUUUAAAGAAAGCGUAAUAGCUCACUGGUCGAGUCGGCCUGCGCGGAAGAUGUAACGGGGCUAAACCAUGCACCGAAGCUGCGGCAGCGAACGUAUCACCCAAGACAACUUUACGGAGUUGACGAUUGACGGAGCGAAGCGACGUCAAAGCGUUCAUUAAAGUCGAGUUGGCUUAGGGAUACGUUCGUUGGGUAGGGGAGCGUUCUGUAAGCCUGUGAAGGUGUGUCGUGAGGCAUGCUGGAGGUAUCAGAAGUGCGAAUGCUGACAUAAGUAACGAUAAAGCGGGUGAAAAGCCCGCUCGCCGGAAGACCAAGGGUUCCUGUCCAACGUUAAUCGGGGCAGGGUGAGUCGACCCCUAAGGCGAGGCCGAAAGGCGUAGUCGAUGGGAAACGGGUUAAUAUUCCCGUACUUGGUGUUACUGCGAAGGGGGGACGGAGAAGGCUAUGUUGGCCGGGCGACGGUUGUCCCGGUUUAAGCGUGUAGGUGUGUGUUCCAGGUAAAUCCGGUUCACUUUAACACUGAGGCGUGACGACGAGGCACUACGGUGCUGAAGCAACAAAUGCCCUGCUUCCAGGAAAAGCCUCUAAGCAUCAGGUAACACGAAAUCGUACCCCAAACCGACACAGGUGGUCAGGUAGAGAAUACCAAGGCGCUUGAGAGAACUCGGGUGAAGGAACUAGGCAAAAUGGUGCCGUAACUUCGGGAGAAGGCACGCUGACACGUAGGUGAAGUGAUUUACUCAUGGAGCUGAAGUCAGUCGAAGAUACCAGCUGGCUGCAACUGUUUAUUAAAAACACAGCACUGUGCAAACACGAAAGUGGACGUAUACGGUGUGACGCCUGCCCGGUGCCGGAAGGUUAAUUGAUGGGGUCAGCGUAAGCGAAGCUCCUGAUCGAAGCCCCGGUAAACGGCGGCCGUAACUAUAACGGUCCUAAGGUAGCGAAAUUCCUUGUCGGGUAAGUUCCGACCUGCACGAAUGGCGUAAUGAUGGCCAGGCUGUCUCCACCCGAGACUCAGUGAAAUUGAACUCGCUGUGAAGAUGCAGUGUACCCGCGGCAAGACGGAAAGACCCCGUGAACCUUUACUAUAGCUUGACACUGAACAUUGAGCCUUGAUGUGUAGGAUAGGUGGGAGGCUUUGAAGUGUGGACGCCAGUCUGCAUGGAGCCGACCUUGAAAUACCACCCUUUAAUGUUUGAUGUUCUAACGUGGACCCGUAAUCCGGGUUGCGGACAGUGUCUGGUGGGUAGUUUGACUGGGGCGGUCUCCUCCUAAAGAGUAACGGAGGAGCACGAAGGUUGGCUAAUCCUGGUCGGACAUCAGGAGGUUAGUGCAAUGGCAUAAGCCAGCUUGACUGCGAGCGUGACGGCGCGAGCAGGUGCGAAAGCAGGUCAUAGUGAUCCGGUGGUUCUGAAUGGAAGGGCCAUCGCUCAACGGAUAAAAGGUACUCCGGGGAUAACAGGCUGAUACCGCCCAAGAGUUCAUAUCGACGGCGGUGUUUGGCACCUCGAUGUCGGCUCAUCACAUCCUGGGGCUGAAGUAGGUCCCAAGGGUAUGGCUGUUCGCCAUUUAAAGUGGUACGCGAGCUGGGUUUAGAACGUCGUGAGACAGUUCGGUCCCUAUCUGCCGUGGGCGCUGGAGAACUGAGGGGGGCUGCUCCUAGUACGAGAGGACCGGAGUGGACGCAUCACUGGUGUUCGGGUUGUCAUGCCAAUGGCACUGCCCGGUAGCUAAAUGCGGAAGAGAUAAGUGCUGAAAGCAUCUAAGCACGAAACUUGCCCCGAGAUGAGUUCUCCCUGAGACUUAGAGUCUCCUGAAGGAACGUUGAAGACGACGACGUUGAUAGGCCGGGUGUGUAAGCGCAGCGAUGCGUUGAGCUAACCGGUACUAAUGAACCGUGAGGCUUAACCUUACAACGCCGAAG
RNAcentral lists this ribosomal RNA (3112 nucleotides) under Salmonella enterica. Its description in RNAcentral is "bacterial LSU rRNA". It matches the Rfam family "Bacterial large subunit ribosomal RNA". RNAcentral also lists the same sequence under 8 other names. Lineage: Bacteria; Pseudomonadati; Pseudomonadota; Gammaproteobacteria; Enterobacterales; Enterobacteriaceae. The record is from RNAcentral.